GGUUGAUCCUGCCGGAGGCCAUUGCUAUCGGAAUCCGAUUUAGCCAUGCUAGUCGCACGGGUUUAGACCCGUGGCGAACAGCUCAGUAACACGUGGCCAAACUGCCCUGUGGACGGGGAUAAUCUCGGGAAACUGAGGCUAAUCCCCGAUAGGGCUUCCAUCCUGGAGUGGAGGAAGUCCAAAAGUUGCGCUGCGGCACCACAGGAUGUGGCUGCGGCCGAUUAGGUAGACGGUGGGGUAACGGCCCACCGUGCCAGUAAUCGGUACGGGUGAUGAGAGUCAGAGCCCGGAGACGGUAUCUGAGACAAGAUACCGGGCCCUACGGGGCGCAGCAGGCGCGAAACCUUUACACUGCACGACAGUGCGAUAGGGGGAUUCCGAGUGCGAGGGCAUACAGUCCUCGCUUUUCUGGACCGUAAGGAGGUCCAAGAAUAAGGGCUGGGCAAGACCGGUGCCAGCCGCCGCGGUAAUACCGGCAGCCCGAGUGAUGGCCGAUAUUAUUGGGCCUAAAGCGUCCGUAGCU
RNAcentral lists this ribosomal RNA (523 nucleotides) under uncultured haloarchaeon. RNAcentral's name for it is "bacterial SSU rRNA". It matches the Rfam family "Archaeal small subunit ribosomal RNA", at positions 6 to 526 of the family's 1478-position model. The record is from RNAcentral. Lineage: Archaea; Methanobacteriati; Methanobacteriota; Halobacteria; Halobacteriales; Halobacteriaceae.